GACGAACGCUGGCGGCGUGCCUAAUACACGCAAGUUGAGCGCUGAAGGUUGGUACUUGUACCAACUGGAAGAGCAGCGAACGGGUGAGUAACGCGUGGGGAAUCUGCCUUUGAGCGGGGGACAACAUUUGGAAACGAAUGCUAAUACCGCAUAAAAACUUUAAACACAAGUUUUAAGUUUGAAAGAUGCAAUUGCAUCACUCAAAGAUGAUCCCGCGUUGUAUUAGCUAGUUGGUGAGGUAAAGGCUCACCAAGGCGAUGAUACAUAGCCGACCUGAGAGGGUGAUCGGCCACAUUGGGACUGAGACACGGCCCAAACUCCUACGGGAGGCAGCAGUAGGGAAUCUUCGGCAAUGGACGAAAGUCUGACCGAGCAACGCCGCGUGAGUGAAGAAGGUUUUCGGAUCGUAAAACUCUGUUGGUAGAGAAGAACGUUGGUGAGAGUGGAAAGCUCAUCAAGUGACGGUAACUACCCAGAAAGGGACGGCUAACUACGUG
RNAcentral lists this ribosomal RNA (497 nucleotides) under uncultured bacterium. RNAcentral describes it as "partial 16S ribosomal RNA". It matches the Rfam family "Bacterial small subunit ribosomal RNA", at positions 28 to 507 of the family's 1533-position model. The record is from RNAcentral.